Molecule: ribosomal RNA, 446 nt
Filed under: uncultured bacterium
Lineage: Bacteria
Description: bacterial SSU rRNA
Rfam family: Bacterial small subunit ribosomal RNA
Source: RNAcentral
UCCUACGGGGCGCAGCAGUAGGGAAUAUUGCGCAAUGGACGAAAGUCUGACGCAGCGACGCCGCGUGAGUGAUGAAGGCCUUAGGGUCGUAAAGCUCUGUUGCAGGGGAAGAACAAAAUGACGGUACCCUGCGAGAAAGGAUCGGCUAACUUCGUGCCAGCAGCCGCGGUAAGACGAGGGAUCCUAGCGUUGUUCGGAAUCAUUGGGCGUAAAGCGCAUGUAGGCUGCCAUUCAAGUCAGUUGUGAAAGCCCCGGGCUCAACCCGGGAAGUGCUUCUGAUACUGUUUGGCUUGAGUACUAGAGAGGAUAGUAGAAUUCCAGGUGUAGUGGUGAAAUACGUAGAUAUCUGGAGGAAUACCGGUGGCGAAGGCGGCUAUCUGGCUAUGUACUGACGCUGAGAUGCGAAAGCGUGGGGAGCAAACAGGAUUAGAAACCCCAGUAGUCCU